UACGAAGGGGGCUAGCGUUGCUCGGAAUCACUGGGCGUAAAGGGUGCGUAGGCGGGUCUUUAAGUCAGGGGUGAAAUCCUGGAGCUCAACUCCAGAACUGCCUUUGAUACUGAAGAUCUUGAGUUCGGGAGAGGUGAGUGGAACUGCGAGUGUAGAGGUGAAAUUCGUAGAUAUUCGCAAGAACACCAGUGGCGAAGGUGGCUCACUGGCCCGAUACUGACGCUGAGACGCGAAAGCGUGGGGAGCGAACAGG
This 253-nucleotide ribosomal RNA is filed under the name uncultured bacterium. RNAcentral's name for it is "partial 16S ribosomal RNA". It matches the Rfam family "Bacterial small subunit ribosomal RNA", at positions 524 to 776 of the family's 1533-position model. The record is from RNAcentral.